This is a long non-coding RNA of Haemorhous mexicanus (house finch), 329 nucleotides long. RefSeq lists it as uncharacterized. The record is from RefSeq and is a predicted model, not a curated record. The transcript has 2 exons. NCBI's taxonomy places the organism in Eukaryota, Metazoa, Chordata, Aves, Passeriformes, Fringillidae.
CUUCCGGCCGUUCGAGCGGCAGGGCGGGAGCGGCGCCUCAGGGAGCGCCUGAGGGAGCGCCGGGGCUGCGCCCGCGGAGGAGCCCGGGGGGCUGCGGGAUCCCAGGGAGCCUGCAGGAGCCGCCGGCUGAGAGCUGGAAUUGCCGGGGCUGGAGGAACCGCGUCUGUUCCUGCUUUCCACAUCCCAGACUGUGAUGGAUUGAUUCAGUGACCCAGCAUACAAGUAUUUAUCAUCUUUGGAGAAGCAGGCACUGCAAAGGCCUUUCAGGAGAGAUGUGGGCUGAAAAUGGCAUUAGAUUGUUGUGCUGGUAAAUAAUAGGUUGAAGUGGA